Long non-coding RNA from Pan troglodytes (chimpanzee), 2343 nucleotides. RefSeq lists it as uncharacterized. The record is from RefSeq and is a predicted model, not a curated record. The transcript is spliced from 3 exons. Lineage: Eukaryota; Metazoa; Chordata; Mammalia; Primates; Hominidae.
GGGGAAACCAUGAGUCCUGCUUUUGAGAAACUGACGCUGAGGCAGAGAAUGUGAAUUCUGUGCAAAACCAUGAUUACCUGAGGCUGGCAUGGAUUUUAACCACUGUGGCUCCCAUGAUUUCCAAGCAUUCUUCCACAGCAAAUGACCAGAUAACGUUAAUGUGACCUCUAAUUUAUAAGCAAGGACUCCGAGACUUAGCUGUCUUCAGGCGCAGAAAAUAUUGACAUCCUAUUUUCGAAGAGAUUGUUUCUUGGCCAACUAAUGCAGCAUGCUAAUUUUUUAGGAAAUUGAUCUCCACUACAGCAAAACCACCCCAGGAAGAGCUCCUCAUUGGUGAAGAUGAAUGGUAGGAAAAGCUCAAAGUACCCUAGGCCAGGGACAUUGUUAACAUCUGCGUCAGGGGUCACUACUCAGUGUUUGUUUCCAAGAACAAGCAGUGCCUCCCAAACUGUAAUGUGCAUAUGAAUCACCCGGGGAUCCUGUUACAAUGCAGUCUGCUGCAGUAGGUCUGAGGUCUGGCCAGACAUUCCACAUUUCUAACAAGCUCCCACGUGGUGCUGAUGCCGCAGGUCAGAGGACUUCACUGUGAGUAGCAAGGCAGCGCUGGACUAACUUGGUUGAACUCAUGAGUGAUUAUAACAAGGUAGGUGUUUAGGAGGCAGAGCCCAAGGAGGAACAGACAAGACUUCUGUGCCAAGGCUUAGCAGAUGCUGGUAACCUCAGGUGCAAUACAAACCCGGCUGGGGAGAGUUGAGUAGCUCAGGACCUGUCAGUGUCUCAGGAGCCAUAUGCCAGAUGCACAUCUGCCAAGACUUCUUGCUUUUCCUAAGAAGACAUGGUUCUAGUUAUUUGGUCCCUUUUAUCAAGAAACUGGCAAUGGUGCUUUCUCCCAUCAACAGAAGUCAUUUGGAUUAAGGAUUACAAGAGGUGCCAAGAGAUAAUUUAAAAGAGUUAUUUGCAUUAUAUGUUUUUUUUUUACAAUUGUAAAAGACUCACAUGUUUUGGAAACUUUUUGUACAUUGUUUUGCAAACUUUUAUGCAUCUGGAAUUAUUUCAAAGUGAAAAGUUUUUUUUAAGUCUCUAAAAAGACUAAAUCUCUUUUAAAUCUCUAAAAAGACCAAAAUUCUGGAGUUUUCUACCUUUCCACAUCUCUUGAAAAUUUAUAUAUUUUUUCCUCCCCAUUGGGAAUAUUUUCCUGACAUUUGCACUAAAUGUUUGUUGCUUACUCUCAUGCUAGUAAGUACUACCCAGCCUGUUCCCUCUAAGUUCUGAAGGCAGCUCCAACACUUGAUUACUGGAAUAUGAAAUCUAUCCUAUUUUGAAAAAAAGGCAGAUCAGAAACAUCCUUCCCUCACUGCUCUAGAUACCAUUUUUUUCUACCUGAACUCCCAAAGCAUAUAUAGGUUAUACUACACUACUUAAUAAUUAUAUUGUCUUUCAUUUUUAUCCUCUUUUCUAGUAAAGAUUAUUGUGUUAAUUUUAAAAAUGGAGUUUACAUAUUGUUUCUUCUGUGUUUGGUACGGUCUCCAGCACAAGGCUGGGCAUGGAGUAGAAAUAAAACUGAUAUUUGUCAGGGAAGGGACUGACUUACUUACCCAGGAAACUAGGCCUGGGUAGUCUUUCUUCAAAGUCAGUAUCUUCAUAACAAUGAAUAAGUAAUCCACAGAUACCACUUCAGAAAACAGGCUUAAUCCAGUGUUCUCCUAGAUAAGCAAAUCAGUCUAAGCAGAAAAAUCUAUCCUAAAUUUGUGUAAAUGUCUUAGAGUUACUUAGAUUCCUAUGACAUGCAGGUCCAAUCACAAGCUCUGGGUUCACAUUCCAUUGGCUCUAAUCAGGGUCCACCAUGAGUUAACGUGGUCAUAUGACUGAGCCUCAGAGUCCCCACCUGGUAAAUGGGGAUGACGAGAGUGGAGUGCCCACCUCAAAACUUCAUUGUAGAUUAAAUGAAGCAGUCCCUGCAAAGCACCUAGCAAGGAUGUUGGAACAUACCAAGUGCUCAGUAAACGUUAGGGCUGAGUAUUCUUCCUUAGGUGAAAUGAAGAAGAAUGGAUAUGAUAACUAGAAAAUCAUCUACAUUAAAAGGUGGAGUUCAAUAAGCUAUACUUUCAGUACAGCAGGGAUAAAGGAGAUGAGGAAGCAAAAAGUAAGUUAUGUCUUCACAUCUAAUUUUUCCCAGGAUUGAAGAAACUUAAGAGAUUUCCCUGAAAUGCCACUAAAUUGCUGCAUACCACAUUAAUUUUGCUCAAAUGCUAAAUACUUUAUAAUUUCCAUAAUGAAGAAAGAAAGGGAGGAAAGGGAAGGAGGAGGGAAGAGGGAGAGAGAGAAGAAGAAAGGAGGGGAGAG